This is a long non-coding RNA of Solanum tuberosum (potato), 692 nucleotides long. RefSeq lists it as uncharacterized. The transcript is spliced from 3 exons. The record is from RefSeq and is a predicted model, not a curated record. NCBI's taxonomy places the organism in Eukaryota, Viridiplantae, Streptophyta, Magnoliopsida, Solanales, Solanaceae.
AAAUAAAAAACAAAGCCACAAAAAUUACCAUUUGAAAUUAGGAAAGUCAUGUCUCUCUCAAAGCAGAUCGUGAGCUUCUGCGGAUUUAACCAAUUUGUUGCUGCUAAGUUCUUCUUCCCUGUCCUUGUUCUCUUCAGUCUCCUUGGUCCCCUUUGUUGCACUUGUAGCAUCCCUUGUAUCAUCUAAUUUGUCAUUGUUUAGCAGAGUUGCAAAGGCAUUAUUAGUGCUGACUCCUUCGAGGCUAGUGAGAAGACAGCUUCUCUAGCAAAGAAAUUAGGCGGCAAGUCUGGUAAACUAAUCCAUGCUACUGCUAUUGAUGGCUCCUCUUCUUGAACAAACCAAUGAUUCCACUUCAAUGGUCUCAUCUGACAGUACAGGUUGUGCACCUUCAAAUAGUAUGUUGGGGUCGACAUCAUCUUCACAUAAUCCUCCAAUUAAAACAUGUCUGUUUUCUAAUAGUCCUAUGUUUCAUGGCCCUUUGAUCUCGCACUGUACUGGGAUUACUUUACGUAAUUCAUGUAAAUCUGGCUUAUCAUAAGAGAACUUUCCUAGAAUUGCAUAUUGUAAAUUCUCUUGUAUGAUCAUCUGUUGAACUUCUGAUGACUUCCAAGUGAUUUGUGGCUCACCGUGUAGGUAAACCACUGUCUUCCUCUGAAUUGGCAUUGGGUUGUAAUCUGGUAUUAAUACUUCUG